Long non-coding RNA from Nycticebus coucang (slow loris), 3306 nucleotides. RefSeq lists it as uncharacterized. The record is from RefSeq and is a predicted model, not a curated record. NCBI's taxonomy places the organism in Eukaryota, Metazoa, Chordata, Mammalia, Primates, Lorisidae. The transcript is spliced from 3 exons.
AGGCAAGGAGGAGUAGCGGCCCGACGUGCGGCUGCGCAGUUGCAUAUGCGGUGUUCACGCCCCUGCGGCCGUAGGUGCAGCUGGCCUUCCAGCGGGACCGCCAGCCCCAGAGCAGGACCCCGGGCCGCGCCCCCACGGGCUGCGGCUCAGAACAGGCCGUCCCCGAGCCUCAGGACCAGGACCGGAGCCUGAGAGGGACGAGCGGGACGGCGAGUGGAGGGGCAGCGGCGCUUUGAGGAUGAAGGGCCGGGCUCGGCCCAGCCGGGCAUGAGGAGGAGGGGCCGCUGCCCUGCAGAGGAUCCAGAGCGGAGGACCGAGAGUUGGGAGCUCACCCUUCCCGCAUCGAGUCACUGCCCUGCGUGGCGGGCAGAGUUCCUGACUUUGAUCAGCCUACCUAAACGAUUCGGGGGCAAACACCCGUGAGAUGGGGUCGGAGAUGGGCGCCUGGAAUGGGCCGCUUUCCUCCUCUGGCGUCAGGGGCUCAGGUGCAACCGCCUCCCAGCCUGCUCCCAGACUCCUGCCCCUCCCACUCGCCUUUGCCCUUCCUACACUUUCAAGCCGUCCUGGCUAUUUAUGGCGCUGUGGGCUAAUUGUGUCAGUGCCAAACCCACACUCGGCACAUCCCCCUUCUCAAGCAGUCACCUGCCCUACUAGGUGGCCCCAGAUGUGUGGUGGAGGGUGCCCUCCUGGCCACAUGAGCAGAGAUGGAGGGGGGAUAGGGCUGGUGCCCUUGAGGAAGGGGUGAGAGGCACCUUCCCCUGCAGUUCCCAGCACUUCCUCUUGCUGGGCUCCUCCAUUUCCACCAUGGCUGUUUGGAAAGACAGGGUGAGACUCCCAGGACCUGCACCCCUUGGCUUCUGCCACUCUCAGGAGCCUGGCUCAGCCCUUCUUCUCACUUCACAGGGUCCUCGCCUCCCAACUUGCACCUCACUGAAGCCUCUUCACUCACUCCAGUUCAGCUCCCAUACCUCUUCUGUCCCUGAGACCACCUCUCCUCCCCAUUGGGAAGUUCUGAAGCAACACCAGCCCUUGCUCAGUUUGGAAAGGCCAAGGGGGCUUCUCGCCCAGAUACCUGCUAGUGUUCAACAAAGAGAGGCCUAGCUGGCGUCACUCUGUUCUGUGGCACAUGCCUUUCCCCCCAGCCCUGCCAGGACACCACUCUGGUCACAUUCAGGGGACCACAGCUUCCAUAAGGCCGCCAUCACAUCCUUAGGGCCUGGCCUCUCCUUCAAUAAAGGACCCUGCAUCUGGAGACCUCCAAACCUAAGGGCCAGAAGAGACCUUGGAAUUGUGGUCUGCCUUACUAGUCUAGAUCUCACCCCUCUGCCAGGAAGAAAGAGAUCUGUCAGCAGGGCUGGCACCCUGAGCCCAGGCUGAGCAUUCAGCCCCUGUGCACUCACCUGUGAAGCUCCCUCCUGGAGGACUAGGACCAUGCCCAUUGUCCAGACCUCUCAGAGGCCCCAUAUCUUCUCCUUCGUGGCAACAUCCCCUACACACUCUUCUGCAGGAGAGCUGACACCACCACCCCCAUUCCAUUCAGAGCUACACCACACCCCCAUCAAAUCUCACCUUGGCUGGGGGCUGUCAGCUACUGCCUGGCUCCCAGCUCUGCACUCAACCUCUACUCCUCCUCUUACACCAUGGCCUUCGCAGUGCCGCGCCCCCCCCCCCAUGUUUACCCCCAGACCCUCUGAAUCCUCUCUCUUCCUAGAAGCCUUUCUGAGACUGGCCCUCUUCCUUUUCUUCUGCUCCAAGUUCCUGAAGCCCUGAGCCUCAGAAGCACCCCAAUGAAUCCACCUACAGAAGGAUAGUCUGAGCUGGAAAAGGCCUGAAGGGCUGCCCAGUGGGCAGAGGAGGAGUGCUUGGGCAGUGAGGAACCAAAUCCAGCCCCAACUUUGUCCCUGCCUCUCUGAUGAACAUUGGACAUGCUGCUCCUCUCACUGAGCUUUGGAGAGGGUUGAACUGAAUCUCUACAGUGGUACCCAAAUCCAGGACUGGAUGCCUUCUUUAUGCAAGGACCAGGUGCCUAUGUACAGUCCAGUGGGAGGAUGGAGGCAUGUACACAGUGUUAAUGUGAGGCAGACUAGCAGAAGUGUAGGAUGCACUAUAACCGUAUUACUCACCCACCUCCCUCCCAUUUUCCCAUCCAUCCAUCCACCCGUCCAUCCAUCUACUCCCUCAUUACCCAUCCACCUGUCACCUAAUCACUCACUCCUCCAUCCACCCUCCACCUGUCCACUUACCCAUUUACCCACCCAUCCAAGGCCCAUCUAGUGCCUAAAGCUCUUGGCCUGGGGUGAGGGAGACACAGAUAUGGGAAUAGGCAUCAGGCCUUUAGGGGACCUUGUGGGGCAAGGGUAUUUGGCUGUGCGGCAGCUGAAUUCAGCCCACUGGUACUCAUCUCCUGCUUCUCAGCCCAGUUUGUCCAGCUCUUGCUCAAGUUGAUUUCUAGGGCCCUGGCUAAGUUGGGGGACGAGAUCCCCACCUCAUUUGGAGUCUUGUACUGCCCCCGGGUCCUGAGGCCUCCUGUGCCCAGCUGGUCAUCCCAGUUAAGGCCCUGUCACCCACUCCUGCAGCUGCAGGUGUUCAAGUGCAUCAGUGGGCUGGGAGGGGAAGGGGGGGAGAUUGAGACAACCAUCAGCUUUUGUCCAGUCCUGGGCUUUAUUGACUCCUAGGAGCUGCCAGAGUUAUAAAUAGCCAGUCCUGAGCUAAAAAUAGCCUUACUGGAGCGUCAGCCCAUGCUUUUGGCUCCCAGCCUAUGUGAGGACUCUUAAGGAUUGGGGAUUCAAGGACCUACCUUCUUUCCCAGCCCCCAAGAGGGGCUGGCCAGGCCCUAUUACUCCCUGCUCCCAUCCCCUGAGGCACAGCUGGUAUACACACGUCUGGCCAGUGUCACUGGUUUGGGAGGUCCCUGGAGACAUAGUCCAGGCCUAGAGGAAGCCACAUUAGCCAGGGAGCUGUAGGGCCUAACUAGAAACUUGUGCCUGUUGCACAGUGAGCGCUCAGUACAUGGGUGCUGUCCCAAUAAUAACCAGGCAGAUAUUGAAGUGACCCCAAAAACCUAGUGUAAAAAUCUAUUGUGUGGGAAUGGGGUGAGGAUGCUCACCACUGCACAGCUGCUGACUGUGUGCAGCACACCUCACAGCUGGUAUGCGCUGACAGGUGGGGUCUGCAGGCUGGCCAGGGCUGCCUCCAGGAGAGAAGCCUGGUGGCCCAGAAAGCAUACAUCAGUACUUCCCACAGAUGCUGUGUGCCUUGUACCCCUGUACCACACGCACAUGUUAAAUAAAUAACAUUUGAAAACCU